GGAUUAGAUACCCUGGUAGUCCACGCCGUAAACGAUGGGUGCUAGGUGUGGGAGAUAAUCCACUUCUUCCGUGCCGCAGCUAACGCAUUAAGCACCCCGCCUGGGGACUACGGCCGCAAGGCUAAAACUCAAAGGAAUUGACGGGGGCCCGCACAAGCAGCGGAGCAUGUGGCUUAAUUCGAAGCAACGCGAAGAACCUUACCAGGGCUUGAAAUAUACCGGACCGCCACGGAAACGUGGUUUCUUUUAGUCGGUAUACAGGUGGUGCAUGGUUGUCGUCAGCUCGUGCCG
This 291-nucleotide ribosomal RNA is filed under the name uncultured bacterium. RNAcentral's name for it is "partial 16S ribosomal RNA". It matches the Rfam family "Bacterial small subunit ribosomal RNA", at positions 775 to 1067 of the family's 1533-position model. The record is from RNAcentral.